Molecule: ribosomal RNA, 1412 nt
Filed under: Streptomyces sp.
Lineage: Bacteria; Bacillati; Actinomycetota; Actinomycetes; Kitasatosporales; Streptomycetaceae
Also listed under: 1 other name
Description: bacterial SSU rRNA
Rfam family: Bacterial small subunit ribosomal RNA
Source: RNAcentral
AUGGGAUGGCGGCGUGCUUACCAUGCAGUCGACGAUGAACCGGUUUCGGCCGGGGAUUAGUGGCGAACGGGUGAGUAACACGUGGGUAAUCUGCCCCGCACUCUGGGAUAAGCCCGGGAAACUGGGUCUAAUACCGGAUAUACAUCGAUGGUCGCAUGGCCUGUCGGUGGAAAGCUUUUGCGGUGUGGGAUGGGCCCGCGGCCUAUCAGCUUGUUGGUGGGGUGAUGGCCUACCAAGGCGACGACGGGUAGCCGGCCUGAGAGGGUGACCGGCCACACUGGGACUGAGACACGGCCCAGACUCCUACGGGAGGCAGCAGUGGGGAAUAUUGCACAAUGGGCGAAAGCCUGAUGCAGCGACGCCGCGUGAGGGAUGACGGCCUUCGGGUUGUAAACCUCUUUCAGCAGGGAAGAAGCGCAAGUGACGGUACCUGCAGAAGAAGCACCGGCUAACUACGUGCCAGCAGCCGCGGUAAUACGUAGGGUGCAAGCGUUGUCCGGAAUUAUUGGGCGUAAAGAGCUCGUAGGCGGCUUGUCGCGUCGGUUGUGAAAGCCCGGGGCUUAACCCUGGGUCUGCAGUCGAUACGGGCAGGCUAGAGUUCGGCAGGGGAGACUGGAAUUCCUGGUGUAGCGGUGAAAUGCGCAGAUAUCAGGAGGAACACCGGUGGCGAAGGCGGGUCUCUGGGCCGAUACUGACGCUGAGGAGCGAAAGCGUGGGGAGCGAACAGGAUUAGAUACCCUGGUAGUCCACGCUGUAAACGGUGGGAACUAGGUGUGGGCAGCAUUCCACGUUGUCUGUGCCGUAGCUAACGCAUUAAGUUCCCCGCCUGGGGAGUAAACUCAAAGGAAUUGACGGGGGCCCGCACAAGCGGCGGAGCAUGUGGCUUAAUUCGACGCAACGCGAAGAACCUUACCAAGGCUUGACAUACGCCGGAAAACCCUGGAGACAGGGUCCCUCUUUGAGUCGGUGUACAGGUGGUGCAUGGCUGUCGUCAGCUCGUGUCGUGAGAUGUUGGGUUAAGUCCCGCAACGAGCGCAACCCUUGUCCUGUGUUGCCAGCGGGGUCCUUCGGGGCUGCCGGGGACUCACGGGAGACUGCCGGGGUCAACUCGGAGGAAGGUGGGGACGACGUCAAGUCAUCAUGCCCCUUAUGUCUUGGGCUGCACACGUGCUACAAUGGCCGGUACAAUGAGCUGCGAUGCCGUGAGGUGGAGCGAAUCUCAAAAAGCCGGUCUCAGUUCGGAUUGGGGUCUGCAACUCGACCCCAUGAAGUCGGAGUCGCUAGUAAUCGCAGAUCAGCAUUGCUGCGGUGAAUACGUUCCCGGGCCUUGUACACACCGCCCGUCACGUCACGAAAGUCGGUAACACCCGAAGCCGGUGGCCUAAUCCCCUUGUGGGAGGGAGCUGUCGAAG